RNAcentral lists this ribosomal RNA (522 nucleotides) under Triticum aestivum (bread wheat). RNAcentral describes it as "partial small subunit ribosomal RNA". The record is from RNAcentral. Lineage: Eukaryota; Viridiplantae; Streptophyta; Magnoliopsida; Poales; Poaceae.
GGCAUUCAACGCCUAGAGGUGCGCGGGGAUUCAAACCUCGCAAUAUCCCAAGUAAAUGGAGACUUUGAUGCCAAAGAUCCAAAAAUGGCAGCUUACCGCAACGCCGUCCUAAAAAUGUCAGCUCGGUUCGAAGGACUCGAAUUCCACCAUGUAGCCCGGGAUAAUAACCAGGCAGCAGACGUGUUAGCACGCAUCGGCGCGAAAAGAGACGCCAUCCCUCCAAACAUCUUCCUGGAACGGCUCUUCAAGCCAUCCAUGUUAUGGGAAGAGGAGUCCGGAAAUAACAAUCCGGAGCCAGCUGCAUCACCUAACUCAGACCAUUCUGACACAAUCGGCGGCUCAGCCAACGAAAUAACACCUUCAGCUCACGAAAUAAUGGCAGUAAUUGCCCCGUGGACAGAACCAUUCCUAGCCUACUUAAUUCGGCAGGAACUUCCCGAAGACCAAAAUGAGGCCCGCUGCAUAGUUCGGCGAUCUAAAGCCUACAAGGUCCAUGAGGGAGAACUUUAUAAGAAAAGCACA